Molecule: long non-coding RNA, 707 nt
Filed under: Androctonus crassicauda
Lineage: Eukaryota; Metazoa; Arthropoda; Arachnida; Scorpiones; Buthidae
Source: RNAcentral
CCGAUAUUAAGGAAAAUCGCUUUCAGUAGUUUUAAAUAUCGGAAAAUUAAGGUUAAAAUCCUUACAAUUAAUCUUUAUUAUAAUAAAGUAAUAUGGGAGUGGAUAAGUUAACUUCCAAUCAACACCCACCAUCCUUUAAACAGAAAGAGGCUAACUUGGAAAUACUUUUCAGUUGACUUCGUACUAUGCAUACACAUUGCUUCUCCUAACAGCAGUUUUCACUGAACUAUUCUACUUUUAUAAAGUGCACCGCUCCUGUCACCUCUAUCGUUGAAGAGUGAGAACGCAAUGGGAGGGUGUGGGGAGGGGUGGAAUUUCAUCGCUGGUAAUACACAGCCAUGGAAGAGUUCAUCUCGUACGUGGGCUGGAAAUGAAUUAACCUGUGAAAGUGGAAUUUUCACACCGCCUAUCUGUGCCACGUUCUACAUUCCAUCUGUAUUGAUCAGGCGGUCUAUAAUGCUGACGGUAGAGAGGCUUGUCACUUGUUCACUCGCUUGCACUUCUCAAAUUUUGUACUCCGCAACCACGUGCGUUCAUCGAUAUCUUAUUCUUAUAUUUUUGUAAAUGUAUCCUGUACAAUUUUCAUACCCGUUUAUACCAUUCUGCCACCGACGUAUAUCCCUAUUACUUUCGCAUUCAUAUUUUUUUCGGUUAUUUAUUCGUACGAGUGGUUUUUGUAUCUGUUUUUUCUUUAUUAUUUUUUUUAC